GACGAACGCUGGCGGCGUGCCUAAUACAUGCAAGUUGAGCGCUCAAGCUUGGUACUUGUACCUACUGGCUGAGCAGCGAACGGGUGAGUAACGCGUGGGUAAUCUACCUUUGAGCGUGGGACAACAUUUGGAAACGAAUGCUAAUACCGCAUAAAAACUUUAACCACAUGUUUUAAGUUUGAAAGAUGCACUUGCUUUACUCAAAGAUGAUCUCGCGUUUUAUUAGCUAGUUGGUGAGGUAAACGCUCUCCAAGGCGAUGAUACAUAACCGAACUGGGAGGGGGGGUGGCCACAUUGGGAAUGGGAAAAGGCCCAAAAUGCUACGGGAAGGAGCAGGAAGGAAACGUCGGGAAAGGAGGAAAGGCGGGACGAGAAACGCCGGGGGAGGGAAGAAGGGUUUCGGAUCGUAAAAAUCCGUUGGUAGGGAAGAAAGAUGGGGGGAGGGGAAAGCGCAUCAAGUGACGGUAACUACUCAGAAAGGGACGGCUAACUACGUG
This 497-nucleotide ribosomal RNA is filed under the name uncultured bacterium. RNAcentral describes it as "partial 16S ribosomal RNA". It matches the Rfam family "Bacterial small subunit ribosomal RNA", at positions 28 to 507 of the family's 1533-position model. The record is from RNAcentral.